RNAcentral lists this ribosomal RNA (804 nucleotides) under uncultured Bacteroidota bacterium. RNAcentral's name for it is "bacterial SSU rRNA". It matches the Rfam family "Bacterial small subunit ribosomal RNA", at positions 236 to 1042 of the family's 1533-position model. The record is from RNAcentral. Lineage: Bacteria; Pseudomonadati; Bacteroidota.
CGACAUUAGCUAGUUGGUGAGGUAACGGCCCACCAAGGCUACGAUGUCUAGGGGUCCUGAGAGGGUUAUCCCCCACACUGGUACUGAGACACGGACCAGACUCCUACGGGAGGCAGCAGUAAGGAAUAUUGGUCAAUGGGCGCAAGCCUGAACCAGCCAUGCCGCGUGCAGGAAGACGGCCCUAUGGGUUGUAAACUGCUUUUAUCAGGGAAUAAACCCCCGUACGUGUACGGGGCUGAAGGUACCUGAAGAAUAAGCAUCGGCUAACUCCGUGCCAGCAGCCGCGGUAAUACGGAGGAUGCAAGCGUUAUCCGGAUUCAUUGGGUUUAAAGGGUGCGCAGGCGGAUUGGUAAGUCAGGGGUGAAAUCCCACAGCUCAACUGUGGAACUGCCUUUGAUACUGUCAGUCUAGAGUAUAGUUGAAGUGGGCGGAAUGUGUCAUGUAGCGGUGAAAUGCUUAGAUAUGACACAGAACACCGAUCGCGAAGGCAGCUCGCUAAGCUAUAACUGACGCUCAUGCACGAAAGCGUGGGGAUCAAACAGGAUUAGGUACCCUGGUAGUCCACGCCGUAAACGAUGAUUACUCGAUGUUGGCGAUACACAGUCAGCGUCUGAGCGAAAGCAAUAAGUAAUCCACCUGGGGAGUACGAUCGCAAGAUUGAAACUCAAAGGAAUUGACGGGGGCCCGCACAAGCGGAGGAGCAUGUGGUUUAAUUCGAUGAUACGCGAGGAACCUUACCUGGGCUCGAACGUAAGAUGACUGUAGUGAAAGCUUACAUCCCUUUCGGGGCAUUUACGAGGUGCU